GUGGGGAAUCUUGCGCAAUGGGCGAAAGCCUGACGCAGCCAUGCCGCGUGGAUGAUGAAGGUCUUAGGAUUGUAAAAUCCUUUCACCGGUGAAGAUAAUGACUGUAGCCGGAGAAGAAGCCCCGGCUAACUUCGUGCCAGCAGCCGCGGUAAUACGAAGGGGGCUAGCGUUGCUCGGAAUUACUGGGCGUAAAGGGAGCGUAGGCGGACAUUUAAGUCAGGGGUGAAAUCCCGAGGCUCAACCUCGGAACUGGCUUUGAUACUGGGUGUCUUGAGUGUGAGAGAGGUGAGUGGAACUCCGAGUGUAGAGGUGAAAUUCGUAGAUAUUCGGAAGAACACCAGUGGCGAAGGCGACUCACUGGCUCAUUACUGACGCUGAGGCUCGAAAGCGUGGGGAGCAAACAGGAUUAGAAACCCCAGUAGUCC
Molecule: ribosomal RNA, 425 nt
Filed under: uncultured bacterium
Lineage: Bacteria
Description: partial 16S ribosomal RNA
Rfam family: Bacterial small subunit ribosomal RNA
Source: RNAcentral